GAUAAUUCACAGUUCGAGUUCAUGGCAGAAAAAAGGGGAGAGAAAUCCUCGAAGCAGAAAGGUGCUUCAUCCGCAAGUAGUCCAAGGGAGUUUGACGGUUUGGUAGCCAAGAUAGUAGAAGCAUUCAGAAGGAUGGCAAAGAAGGAGCCGACGAGUUUCUGAUGGAAGUGGAAUCAGAGUGAGGCACCUAUGACCAUAAGAGUGGUCACAAAGCCCAGUGUCAUACUGUUCAGGGAAGCCCUCUGCCCUCCCUUAAUUUUCUUUGUCAUAGAAAUAAGAAGAAGAAGGUGGUAUGCAAUAUCAACCACCCACACUGCAAUGAAAUGGCCGAGGGGCUUGAUCUUUCUCCAUCUUCACAAUAUCAUGCUUAGUUUAUCUUGAAGCUGUCAUGGGUUGAAAAAAUAGUAUAGUAGGAAACAUCUAUGUAUGCUGAUCAACACAUAUGACUUGUCUUUGGUGAUGCUAUUGGAAACCCAUUUGCAGGAAGAGGGCUUUGUGAAGUUCCUUCGUCGAUUGUGACAUGUAUGGGAGGAUGCAUUUGAAGAAGAUAGAAGCAAGUAUAGUGGUAUAUUGGUGGCGUGGUACACAUACCUCACAAUUUAUUUGAUUAGUUUUUCAGGAAGAAGAAGGUAUGCUCCUAUAGAUCUUGGCCUGUAUUUAUGGGAUUAUGAUGGCUACUUCUCAUAAUCUAUUAUGGUCUUGACUAGCAAAUCUAGAAUUCAGUGAUCUACUUUGGUGUGUUUGUGGAAAUUUCAAUGUUAUUUGCAAUCCUUGUUUGUGAUAAGCUUGGUAGUCGGCCUUUUAUCUUGAAUAACAUAGUGUUAUUCUUUUAGAAUUUCGUAUCUAGAAAUAAGCGUUCUGAUCUCGGUUUCUAUGGUUGCCCAUUUACUCGGCAACAAUCAUGUUAGUUCAUCUCGGAUAUGUGCCCAUUUAGAUAGGAUACUUGUUAACCCAUAGUGGCUUUCACUCUUUCUGUUUCACACCUCCCUAAUAUAACUUAUGAUCAUGUCCUUUUGUUUUUUUGAGAUUAAUCGAACUAGUAAAUGCUAGUUAUAGAUGUCCU
Molecule: long non-coding RNA, 1063 nt
Filed under: Musa acuminata (dwarf banana)
Lineage: Eukaryota; Viridiplantae; Streptophyta; Magnoliopsida; Zingiberales; Musaceae
Description: long non-coding RNA (MACU_LNC000304)
Source: RNAcentral